UACGAAGGGGGCUAGCGUUGCUCGGAAUCACUGGGCGUAAAGGGCGCGUAGGCGGCGUGUCAAGUCAGGCGUGAAAGCCCCGGGCUCAACCUGGGAACCGCGCUUGAGACUGGCAUGCUCGAGUUCGGGAGAGGAUGGUGGAAUUCCCAGUGUAGAGGUGAAAUUCGUAGAUAUUGGGAAGAACACCGAUGGCGAAGGCAGCCAUCUGGACCGACACUGACGCUGAGGCGCGAAAGCGUGGGGAGCAAACAGG
RNAcentral lists this ribosomal RNA (253 nucleotides) under uncultured bacterium. Its description in RNAcentral is "partial 16S ribosomal RNA". It matches the Rfam family "Bacterial small subunit ribosomal RNA", at positions 524 to 776 of the family's 1533-position model. The record is from RNAcentral.